CCUACGGGAGGCUGCAGUGGGGAAUAUUGGACAAUGGGCGAAAGCCUGAUCCAGCCAUGCCGCGUGUGUGAAGAAGGCCUUCGGGUUGUAAAGCACUUUCAGUGGGGAAGAAAGCCUUGGGGCUAAUACCCUCGAGGAAGGACAUCACCCACAGAAGAAGCACCGGCUAACUCCGUGCCAGCAGCCGCGGUAAUACGGAGGGUGCGAGCGUUAAUCGGAAUUACUGGGCGUAAAGCGCGCGUAGGCGGUCUGAUAAGCCGGUUGUGAAAGCCCCGGGCUCAACCUGGGAACGGCAUCCGGAACUGUCAGGCUAGAGUGCAGGAGAGGAAGGUAGAAUUCCCGGUGUAGCGGUGAAAUGCGUAGAGAUCGGGAGGAAUACCAGUGGCGAAGGCGGCCUUCUGGACUGACACUGACGCUGAGGUGCGAAAGCGUGGGUAGCAAACAGGAUUAGAUACCCUGGUAUC
This 464-nucleotide ribosomal RNA is filed under the name Vreelandella stevensii. RNAcentral's name for it is "partial 16S ribosomal RNA". It matches the Rfam family "Bacterial small subunit ribosomal RNA", at positions 338 to 794 of the family's 1533-position model. The record is from RNAcentral. Lineage: Bacteria; Pseudomonadati; Pseudomonadota; Gammaproteobacteria; Oceanospirillales; Halomonadaceae.